Molecule: non-coding RNA, 7127 nt
Organism: Phalacrocorax carbo (great cormorant)
Lineage: Eukaryota; Metazoa; Chordata; Aves; Suliformes; Phalacrocoracidae
Source: RefSeq, a predicted model, not a curated record
GAAAAAACCCCACCUGAAUUAAUAAUAAAUACAGCAGGCGGGAGCGCGGCGGCGCGCCCUGCCCGGCCGGCGGAGGGCGGGAGGUGUGAGCCCCCCGGGGCAGGGCGGCGGGGGUCGCAGCCCCCCGGGGUGGGCCGGGGGUACCGGCGGGUCCGACGGUGGCGGUGGCGUCACGUGAAAGUCCCCUUUAAGUUUCCAUAGAGAGGCCCUCCGGGUGUCACAUGAUGGACAUGAUAUAAUGAAACAACAUCGUGGGGAGGGAAGCAUUGGGGGAGCCCGGGGAGGCGGCGGCGGCGGGGCGGCGGGGUGUCCCGUCCCCGUCCGUCCCGUCCCCCCCCCCGCCCUGCACCUGUCUCGGUGCCCCGCAGCGAUGCGGUGACCCCCCCCCGCCCCCGCCGCCGGCGCUGCCCGUGGCCACCCUCGUCCCUCCGGGUGGAAAAGGGGGAAAGGCGGCGGAGCAGCCGGCGGAACGACGGGCCGCUCUCUGAGAUUUGUGGUGUAGUGGACCAGUCCAUGCAUUCUGGCAAGCACUGAACUCUCAGUUGAAAGAGCAUGUACACCACCGCAGAGUAGCGAUACCUGGUGAUGGAGGGUAAUGCUGCAGAGGGCACAAGCUGUGCUGGAGAAGGUUUUCACGACCAUUCCGUUACCCCCUUGCCGCAGCCAACGCGGAUCCGAAUGCCGUGGCUACAAAGGCUUGUUACUUUCUCAUGCUGGAUCCCUCAAAUCCAAGAGCUACUUGGCAGUUUCCAAGGCAACCACCUGUGGAAUAAUUAAAAAGGAAGAAGUGUUAGUGUGCCAGAUAUAAGGAAUUCUUGCCUGAAGAGAGCACUUCAUUUUCAUCUGCCUUGAAGAAUCAAAUGUGUUUCUGCCAGCGAAGUUAAGAAGAAGAAAAGGUGACUGAGUUGCACAAGUGAACCAGGACAAUCCAUAAGGUGCUGAUCUCAUGAAAGCCCCCCGCGUAUGCCAAAGGAGGAACAUGUUGUUUGAGGGAAAACCUAUUUAUAAAUAGGUACAACCUGAAAGAUCCCAGAGAGAUGCUACUGCAUAUGCAAGACCACGGUGGGGAUGAAAACUAAAGUUUUUAUAAUGUAAAGACCUGGACAAGAAGCAGUGAGUUUUGUUGUGGGUAACUGUUCAUGUUACCUUUGUUAUCACACCUUAGAAACCAACAGAGAAUUAUGUUGCUCGUUAUGGUUGUCCUGUACGAUUUCUAAAGUAUAACUUCUGCUGCUUUUACCCAGCAAAUUGUGAUGACCUUGGGGGAAAAAAGCCCUGUAUUCCUGCCCCUGUUGACCCAAAGUCUGCUGUUUGACAGAAGAGCAGUCAGCUGCUAUGGUGAUGGGCACAAGAUGGGAACACAGACAGAAAUAGAGGGACGAGGCUGAAGCCGGACUGUUCCUGCUUCCUUACCGUUUCAGUAGCCCUUUCUGAAUUUGGUGAUGACUGAUCUCAAGGGGUUAAUGGGUUAUUUCGCUGUUUUCUGCCUCAAAUUCUCGCAAUUAACUCAAAAUAAUAGGCAAAAAGGAGAGUGAGAUACUCAAAUUGAUAACGUGUGUACAGGACUGCAUAUAAUUCCCUGCAGUGCAGCUUGUGCCUGUUGGGCUUGAAUUUGGAUGCACAGAAAUCUCCCUCCUCCCAUACAAAUUGAAGUCAGUUUUUGGUAAUGCAUAAUUCAUAUAAUGAAGCCUUUGUCACAAAAACAUCUUACUGUUUUUCUCCCAGCUUGAUAAGCCUGCUUUUACAUUUUUAGGAUUUCUGUUUCCUAAUAAUCCGCAAUAGCAGCCUGAAGAGGUUUCAAAACAGAAUUCAGAGUAAAUCUUAGACAAUUUGUACGUCAAGGAUAUUGCUCUACGCAGUAGGUGAUUCUCUGGCACCUGCUAUUUACAGAUCCUUCCUCUGCAAAGAAUUAUUUCCCCGUGGCAUGGGGGCACACUGCUGCCGUGGAGUCAGCGUGUAGGUGGAUGGGAGCUCAAGGUAGUCUGUCCAGAGGUCUGCAGACCGAUUUAGAUACAUCUUAGAAGGAGCGUUUACGCACAUACUUCUGUAUGAAACAGAGACAGCGCUUUCCUUUGAUGAAUUUUGAAGCUCCAAUCGAAAAUUACUCCUUCCAUAGGGAAUAUGAUACCUGUAUUGUAGUGAUGGGGUUCAGUGGUAAACCUUGAUUGCCUGUUCUGACUGUAAAUACACUCACAUAAGUUCAGAUUUUGAGGAGCAGUAACUUGUCUAAAAGCCUGUAUAAGAGGCUGGAGGAAGAGAAGAAUUAUUAUGAGGGUGCCAGAGCAGUGGCAGAGGCUGCCCAGAGAGGCUGUGGGGUCCCUUCCCUGGAGACAUUCACCCCCCGCCUGGACGCGGCCCUGUGCCCCUGCUCUGGGGGUGCCUGCUCCAGCAGGGGGUGGGACGGGGUGAGCUCCAGAGGGCCCUUCCAGCCCCCACCAGUCUGGGAUUAUGUGAUUAUGAAAUUGCAUUUUAGUUUAUCUCUUUGAAGAACAACACAGAGAGGGGACUAAUUCAAACAGCUUCUGGGUUUGUUGGUUUUGGUUUUUUGGUCGGCUUUGGUUUUGGUUGUGGUUUUUUUUCAGAUUCUGAGGACAAACCUGUCAAUAACGAAUUGCUUCAGAAAUAAACGGAGAAAAUUGUACCUGGCAGAGGCUGGUUUUUCUGAGGUAUGGAUGUUUCACUGGUGGGAAGUAGCGGUCUUUAUUCAAGGGCUGCUUGCUUGUUCCAGAGGAAUGUUCCCCAGAUCACUCACUCGGUAGCUCUUCCCAAUACAGCUAACGAAGGCACAGGAAGGGAAGUGAGGCUGAAACUCAUCUCAACUCCUCAUGAGCAGCUGAGCCAGGGAGAUGCGAUUUGAUGCUAUCCAAGGUGUAAUUCCACAGUUCAUGUCUUACGCAGUGCCAUCCUAAUGCGUUUCUGCCUACCCCCAGCCAUUCAUUUCCAGCUCAGCAGCAAUGCAGUGCCAUCUCGUUCCUGACGUUGUGGAAGACCACGCUGAAAAUUUCUCGGUCAAGAAAAGAGACACUUUUUUUUUUCCUCUGAAUUAGAACCAUUUGAGUGAGCUUGUUUAUAGCAUGGCCUGCGGGCAGCUCUGUGGGUACACCUGAAGGUGACGUGACCUGCAGCAUCAGAGGCAGCAGCGAGCGCCAGAGGGUGUCCCAGGGCGAAGUGAACUUGCUGUCAACAGAAAUCUGCUCUGGGACCAUAGCCUGGCUGAAGGGCUUUCACUAGCCACAGUAUUAUUUAUUGAACUGCUGCUUUUCAUUGUUAUUUUAUUUUAUUAAGGAAGAUUAACAUCUUCUUGAUUGGGCAGGUUUUUUUUCUGGAGGAGAUAAACCACCUCUGAGAAGUCAGUCAGCUUUGUGGACAGCCAUGAAUGUCAAUAAAGUCUUGGCAAACACAGUAGGUAUUUAUUCAGCCUUGCAAAUUAAAAACAUUUUUCCUGCCUGUUUAGCGAAGGGAACAAAAAAAGACAAAUUACAUAGCGGAUGAGCUCUCUUGAUAGUUGCAAUUCAUUAAGCUGGUGGUGAAAACGCUGGGGGAUUGAUGGUGCAGAAAAAUAAAAGAUGAAGCAGCUCUUCCCCAGUAGCUAUGGUUUAAGUUCAAGUUGAAAAUGACCGGAAAAAAAACCCAAAAAAAUCCCUUUAAGACAUCUGUAACUGACUUCACAGCCUCAAUUUCUAUCUUGGUAGGCAGUUCUUCCUCACUGCAGUUAGUAUUAAUUGGUUUUUCAGCUGACAGACAAUUUCUCAAUGGUUCCUCGAUCUUCAUCAUGCCACAGGGUAUCUGCAGCAGCUCAUAAAUGAGAUACAUGGCCAAGCGUUAAGUAGGAAGUUCGCACAAUCCCUUCCUAUGCUGUAGCUGUUCCACGAACAGAGGCUUUCUGCAGACUUGUCAAUCUGUCAUCUUUCCUUGGCUCCACAUUUUAUUAAGGAAAAAAAAAAGGUAUUUAAAAAGUUACAAUAAGUUGAGCAGUUUGUCAGACAUAACGUACUCACAGGCUAUUGUCUGCAAAUUACAGGCUGACUCGGUCUUUCAGCCUGUCAUAGCGGGAUCGUAAAGCUGUCAUAAGUAAAGCUGUAAUAAAAUCCAUUUACACAGCUCCUGUUGUGGCAGAGCACGGAAGGGAGGCAGUAAGUCUUACUUUUUACAAAUUUCCUGUACGGGAUCAUUAGUCCAGCUGGAAGUGUCUCCAAGUCGCUCCCAGUAAAUGUUCUCUCUGAUUAUCCCUGGAUUCAUGUGAUAAAGUGCCCACAAUUGUCAUUCGCAGUCAGAGGCGGGUCACAGUUCACAUACUAUUCCGAGUGCUUAACCACAGGAAUUCGUCGCUGGAGGAGAGGGGGUUACCUGAUAGGAGUUCAAAUGCAGCUAAACCACCUGUAAGCCAAAUCACUGGAAUUAUUCAACAGCAAAAUAAAGCCAUCGUAAACACUGAUCUCACAGUGGUGUAAUCGCAGACAAAGCUCCGCUCCUGUAAGUAAUCCCAUCGAUGUCACACAAAGUCCUGUGAAUUCUGAGGUAUUGAAGAUGAGGGCUGAAGUCACUGAUGUGUCGUUCCCGUAAUACUCUGUGGAAUAUUACAGAAUGGUGAUAGUUUGUAAUUACAGAAACAAAAAUGUAAUUGGAAACUCUUCCAUCUAAAAUUUUUACCUAAGUAAAUUCUGGGUUUGCUCUUCCUAUUUCCCAAGCUCUUGCUUUUCUGCUAAGUAGAUACCUAAAUGUAAAGACAUCACUUCCUCUGUUCCUCUUCUUCCUUUCCAGUUAAAUGAGAAAAUUGCUCUCGGCUUUUCUCAUCAUUAAAUCCAGGGAGGACAGAACAGUCCGAGACCUGAAGAUGUUUUAAAACUUACAGGACCUAAUUAGAAGGAGGCAUCUUGCACAAGUACAAUAGCUGUCUGUCUGCAGUUCAUUUGUUUUUCCAAUUUAGAAAUGACAGUUUACAGUCCUAAUGCGAGAGUGUUUCUCAUUAUCUGUGUUCUAGAAACAUGCAGAGUUAUUACAAGUUUCGAAAGAUGCUUUCUUCAGAAAUGCAGAUGAUAUUAAGCAGAGGAGUUUGCUCUCUGGACAGUCGGCUGGAGGUGCUGCAGUCUGUACCUGUCCUAGGGCUAGCGGUGAAGGCAGCAGCUGGACCUCAGCCUCAACUCCCAUGUACGUCACGAAUGCGACUGUACGGGAAGUGAUGCUACAGCACGAUUUAGCCUUGCCUUGUCCAGGGAAGAUAAUGGCUGUGAAAUGUCAUUGCUUUCCUUGCUGCACAGAUGGCUCUCAGGUUUCUUGGACAUUGCCAUGAAGAUUUUCUUGGAGAGGAGUGUGUUAGCUAUGCUGUUGACAGAUACCCUCGUGGGAACUGUCCACACUAAUUUGAGAUUCCUCUCCUCUAUCUUCAGCCAUCUAGAAGUUAGGUUUCUAGUCUAAGCUAGUUGUUUUUGUUGUCAGUGUGGUGAAUGAAGGGAGAGAUGUAUUUCUGGAGAUUGUGAAACCUUAGAAACAGAUGUAAUUAGAUAGGGGUUUUUACAUGGUUUGCUGACCCCGAAGAGGAGUAGUUCAAGAAUAUUAGGCUGUCCUCAGGAGACCACAGACAGGUUCAUCUCAGAUGAUGGUUGUAAUCAACUAAAAUCCACUUCCACAGGACUUUCAGAGGCAGGUACAAUGCACGCUGGGUGUAUUAAACUGCAGGAGGGAAAAAGUAAGGUGCUUCGCUCUUCCUGAAUGCACUACAGGAAGGGAAAGUUUGAGGCUUUUGCAUGGCUUGAGGAAACAGUUCUGUGCUGCCCACACUUUAAAGCUGCUUUAUUUUAACUGUGCCUAAAGCACUAGCGUUUCUUUUGCCCGCGUGGAAGAUUCCCAGAGAGCUGUGCGCUUAGGGCAGAGCCCCGGGAGAUGGGCACGAGCACAGCUCAGUCCUGCUGCUCCUGGCCAAGCUGCUUCCUGACUGCUCUGCUCCACACAGACGCUUUCUGGACAGAUGAGCUGCAUAAUGAAUCCAACGCUGAUGUGGCCUGGCAUAGUUAUAGCUCUUCCAGUAACUGAAGCAACUGCCUGCUUUCAGAAGCCCAGCCUACUCCGUUUGGUUGUUUCCCUUAUAACAAUGUUGGUUUACAGCCGCAUGGGGCACGCGGUGUCGUGCCUCCCUUCUGCCCUGCCGUCGAAACACACCGCGCCUGUUGUGCCAGCGCUGCUGCUUUGGGUAAUUUGUUCCUUGCGGAGAGGCUGUGAUGUACCCAUCGAGUACUUCCCAGAACGUGUCACCGAGAGCGUGGCUGAGCCUCGUAAUCUGUGCAAACACUCAAACUUGCUUGACGUUAUUCUGCAGAUGUGAUUUGGAUACGUUCGUUCUGCCAGCUGAGAUGAGAAGUUGCAGACAGGUUAUAAAAAAAUACAUCUGUUUAAAGGGAAUAAAGUGUCUAGAAUACACUUCAGUAGCAGACUUCCAGGAAAAAACCCUGUGUCAGACUUCUUAGAAGUAGUGCUGGGACCAGGUGGUAAGUGCCAGAUCUGAACAGUCUGUAAUUAAUGCAAUCCGUAAUGUUAGGUUUGGGCGCCCACCUUUUCUCUAAUGCUGCAAAUACAACCUCAUAGAGAGCUGGGCUGGUUUUCAAACUAUCUGUGUGACCUUUUGAAUGAAUAUUCAGCAUUUAGGCAUUAAUAUGUAGCUUCUGUCACACGCUGGUACUUCUGCUGCUGCUGUUAAAAAUAACAUAUGUUAACAUCUUGCAGGAGACCUAUCACAUGUUGUGUUGCUGUCACUAGAGGGAGUUCGCAGCAGUGCUUUCCUCACGGAUUUGUUUGGUGGAAGUCGUGCUGUGGGCAGACCUCAGCAGACACAAUGUGUUAACAGAAGACAGUAACAAAAGUAGGAAGGUCCUUCUUCCCUGGUUAAACCCUUAUUACAUGUUGUCCAAGCUUGACUAACAAAAUUCUUCAGGGUGACACUGCUGUAAGCAAUUCUCUUUCUGUUGGUAGCACUAUAAUAGAAACCAGAAGUGAACGUUUGGUGACUGAAACAAAAAUCAAGGGUAAGAAUAAGAAAAAAGCAUCAACUAUUUAAUAGGGAAAAUAAAGGUGAAAACCCAACAUGGAUAGGUACUCUUCUGUGGCGUUUCCAAUUUAUUUUUACAGGAGUAUCU